GUCUAACUCCAUGCCACCCUGAACGUGCUGGAUCUUAUCUGAUCUUAGAAGCUAAGCAGAGUCGGGCCUGGUUAGUACUUGGAUAGGAGACCACCUAGGAAUACCAGAUGCUGUAGGCA
RNAcentral lists this ribosomal RNA (119 nucleotides) under Pteropus alecto (black flying fox). Lineage: Eukaryota; Metazoa; Chordata; Mammalia; Chiroptera; Pteropodidae. The record is from RNAcentral.